Anopheles funestus (African malaria mosquito) is the source of this 434-nucleotide long non-coding RNA. RefSeq lists it as uncharacterized. Lineage: Eukaryota; Metazoa; Arthropoda; Insecta; Diptera; Culicidae. The record is from RefSeq and is a predicted model, not a curated record. The transcript has 3 exons.
AGUUAGUGUUUUUAGUCAAAGUUAGUUGUAAUUGACUUGUUUUGGACGCAAUUGGUAGAAAACUAUUGAUUUUGGUAAAAGUUAGUGUUUUUGGUCAAAGUUAGUUGUAAAUGACUUGUUUUGGACGCAAUUGGUAGAAAACUAUUGAUUUUGGUAAAAGUUGGUGUUUUUGGUAAAAAUUAGUGUUUUUGGUCAAAGUUAGUUGUAAAUGACUUGUUUUGGACGCAGUUGGUAGAAAACUAUUGAUUUUGGUAAAAGUUAGUGUUUUUGGUAAAAAGUUGGUGUUUUUGGUCAAAGUUAGUUGUAAAUGACUUGUUUUGGACGCAAUUGGUAGAAAACUAUUGAUUUUGGUAAAAGUUAGUGUUUUUGGUAAAAGUUAGUUGUAAAUGACUUGUUUUGGACGCAAUUGGUAGAAAACUAUUGAUUUUGGUAAA